Daphnia pulex (common water flea) is the source of this 1614-nucleotide long non-coding RNA. RefSeq lists it as uncharacterized. The record is from RefSeq and is a predicted model, not a curated record. The transcript has 3 exons. Lineage: Eukaryota; Metazoa; Arthropoda; Branchiopoda; Diplostraca; Daphniidae.
GAUCACCAGCGAGAUUUUCGUUUCUUUAUUAGAUUUCUACAGAUGAAACCGAUCAGCACAUUUGACAUGAAGAAUGCUCAAGGCUCCGCCAAACAUCGUCUGGUGUGGACUAACAUUCCAUAACUGAAUUUCAAUCCGCAAUUGGACGAGCAAGUCAUCAACAACGACCAUUCAGUUCGUCCAUUUCUUGUCUUCCACUCAGCCGAGAGCCAUUUUUCAUCAAAUAUCCUUGGAUUCUUGAAUAUAUCGUGGCCAUAAACCAAUAACCCCUGCCAGCCAACUGGCAGGAGAAACACGACCGCGGAUGCUUUUCCAGCGCGAUACCCGAAGCAAGACGAAAACAAUUAAAGUUCCAGCCCAUUUGGAGCAUUACUCGGUCGUCCAGCUGACCCAGAAAACGGCCAAGAAGAAGAAGAAAUUUAACAGCGAUCUCCGCUCGAGUUGGAAACUUUGCGAAGCCGUCGGCAGUGCUGACAAGGACAGCGACGGAAUAAGUGACGAACAGGCUACAUCGCGGGUCUGACGGAAGAUCACGCCGCAUUUUGAAGAAGCUGCAGUAUGCAAGAACGAUUGACGAAUCGAAGUUUACCAGUUUACGUUGUGGAGUUGUGGAUUCACAUUUUUCAACUUUUGUUGAAGAUUUGAAGUUGGCCCGUGUCGUUGGCCCGAAAUAAGCCACGGAUUUUUAUUUACUCUUCCUUCUUACGUACGUUUCUCACCUUAUUUUGUUUUGUAAACAAGAUUGUAAACUAAAAAUAAAAAAAAUCGUGACUGUUCUCAGAUCAAAGAAUAAAAUUAGUUGGUGGAAAAUUUGGAAUUUUUUUUUACAAUUGUGAGCGAUUUACUUGGAAGAAUUUAGUUAAUAAUCUGAAUCGAUUCCAAUAUCGAUGUCACCAUAGCCCCCUCCAUAAUCACAGUAGCCUCCACCAUAGUCACUAUAGCCCCCACCGUAAUCGCCGUAGUAUCCUCCGCCGUAGUCACCGUAACCAUAUGAUCCGAAUCCGCCAUAAUAUACGGAUAUCCGAAGAUGCCUCCGAAGUUAUAAUGAUACGCGCGUCUCACGUACGGUAAGUGGUAUAGGGAAGGCGAAAGGUAAGGAAGAAGAAAUCCUCGACUGAUUGGAUGGCGCAGGGUUUGGUGGAACUGGAGUGGCGCCGACUCUAGCAAUUCAGAUUUAGCUUCUCCGAUUAAUUCCGAUAUAUUAUAUUCCGAUUAAUUACUUGUCUGACGCAUCUUUUCCCACAUUUUCGGGACAAGGAAAAUUUUCUGUGUGAGGUUCGUCGGGUUGUCCAGGCUGAUGAGCUAUUUUCACGUCAAUUUUGAAUCCGUUUUUCUGCUUUGAGGUGAAACCAGUGUGUCUCGAUUGGUCGUCAAGUCUUCCAGAUUCUGUUGGUCCUUUCCUUUUCAACCGAUCGGCCCAAAACACGACAGCGCAAAAAAGUGCCAUCAAAUGAACAAAUACACACAAGUUAUCUGCAAUUAAAUCAACUAUUCAAGAUUGUAAAGCAAGUAUUGUAGCAUAGCAAGUAUUAUAAGCAAGUCCUCUUAUGCAGUAGCCUAUAUAGUAGUAUAUACGCUGCAGCACAUUACUGAUAAAUUGUUCACAUUUUUAUU